This 1214-nucleotide long non-coding RNA is filed under the name Junco hyemalis (dark-eyed junco). RNAcentral's name for it is "lncRNA (ENSJHYG00000017555.1)". The record is from RNAcentral. Lineage: Eukaryota; Metazoa; Chordata; Aves; Passeriformes; Passerellidae.
UUGUGCAUACACACAGCUAACAUCUUUGCCUGAUUGCACUGGGACAAAAGCAUGCUAAUCAUGGAUCCAGUUCUGUCUUGGAAGGCAAGUACAACUUCUGUGCAGCCUCUACUGCUGUAGCACACAUGCUGAAGCUCCAUUGUAAUACUUGAUCAGGAAACGAUCCGGAAACAAAACAUUGAUAAUGAUUCCUGGAGCCUGGGUUAAAUGUCGGAUGCUUGUAACCAAUGAGAUCAGACACACCCUUCUUUUGGGUUGCUUUCAGAUGGUCCUGAUUCCCUCAUGUUUUCAGACAGUUGUGACAGAGGGGGAGCUAUCUGUAGAUAUAUAUUUUUUUUAAUCCCAAAGUUAGAGCUGGAAAUUCUGAGCUUAAUCACUACCUGUUGUCUCGGACCUCAAAGCAAGUGUUUGCAAAUCAGCCUUCAUUAGCAGUGACUCACACAAACCUAGCCAUUGGUGUCAGUAAUGUCUGCAAUGUGCUGUAGGCAGGGGGUGUGCCACUAGUUUUUUUCAGAAAAUACCUAUGAACAUGAAUCUAAAGUGACUGGCAUAAGCUGCCAGUGUGUAAAAAGUUGAUGGCUAAAUAGCUUGGAGUGGCACUGUGGCUUCCACCCACCCACCCCCACCAUGAAAAUUAUGUACCUUAGAGGAGACUUAGGGGAUGCUGCUGAACCUGCAUGCAGUUGUUUUAGGUGUGGAGGACAAACUCCUGCAUGCUGUCUGAAGAACAGCCAGUUUGGAACCCGGUGUAUGCUGCCAGCAGCUCUCAUUCCACAUCUAGCUGGAAGGUGAGCAAAAUGCUGGCAGGCUCUGGAGCUGAGUAAUGGUAAUGUCACUGAUUCUUCUCUUCAGUUAGGUGACACACCAGGCACUCGCAUUAGACUCUAAGAGCAUUUGACCAAAAGCCUCUCUCCAAUUUAAAUGUACCAAGUGGGGUCAGUUUGUCAUGCUCUUGGGUGAGCCGAUGCUGGAAAAAGAAACCAAGUGAAUUUUGAACUACUGCUUGUUAGUGAGCCCAGCUGCUCUUCUUGAGGAUCAGGGUUUGAUCCACUCAGCUGAUUGCGCCGCUGCCUGAAGUGGAGACAAAGUGAAUUCUUCUGGAAAAGAUGGUGAGUGUGACCAGGAUCAUUAACAGGUAACUUGCUGUAUGGAUAAGCUGUUAAUACAAUCACACUGAAAAUAAACUUUCCCUCAGUUUAGGGAUUUGUUUAAAU